This 285-nucleotide long non-coding RNA is filed under the name Vigna radiata. Its description in RNAcentral is "long non-coding RNA (VRAD_LNC000367)". Lineage: Eukaryota; Viridiplantae; Streptophyta; Magnoliopsida; Fabales; Fabaceae. The record is from RNAcentral.
GGGUCCUAAGAACUAGUUGAAGUCCUAAGCACCACGACCGGUUCUUCUUCGUUCUCCAAUGCGUGCUCCAAUAGUACAUCAUCAACUACUGCUCACAUCCAAGGAAUUGGAUGAUCAUCGCAAGGGGGAAAGCAAGCACAUACAACACACACAAUGCAAGGGUAAGCUAGGUAUAAAAAGCAUGUUAUACAAUCACACAAAGCAUGCAAAUAACCGUAACACAACAUAGACUAAGACUGAAUACUUCAUUUUGUUACCAAUGACCGACCACGUGAUUUGACCAUC